Molecule: ribosomal RNA, 502 nt
Filed under: uncultured bacterium
Lineage: Bacteria
Description: partial 16S ribosomal RNA
Rfam family: Bacterial small subunit ribosomal RNA
Source: RNAcentral
GACGAACGCUGGCGGCGUGCCUAAUACAUGCAAGUCGAGCGAAGUAUGAGGAGCUUGCUUCUUAUACUUAGCGGCGAACGGGUGAGUAACACGUGGGCAACCUGCCCGAUAGACUGGGAUAACUUGGGGAAACUCAAGCUAAUACCGGAUAGGAUCAUUGACUGCCUGGUUGAUGAUGGAAAGUCUGAACGACACUAUCGGAUGGGCCUGCGGCGCAUUAGCUAGUUGGUGGGGUAAGGGCCUACCAAGGCGACGAUGCGUAGCCGACCUGAGAGGGUGAUCGGCCACACUGGGACUGAGACACGGCCCAGACUCCUACGGGAGGCAGCAGUAGGGAAUCUUCCACAAUGGGCGAAAGCCUGAUGGAGCAACGCCGCGUGAGUGAUGAAGGUUUUCGGAUCGUAAAACUCUGUUGUUAGGGAAGAACACCCGAGAGAGGAUCUCGGAAUGACGGUACCUGACGAGAAAGCCCCGGCUAACUACGUGCCAGCCGCCGCGGUAA